RNAcentral lists this ribosomal RNA (465 nucleotides) under uncultured bacterium. RNAcentral describes it as "partial 16S ribosomal RNA". It matches the Rfam family "Bacterial small subunit ribosomal RNA", at positions 28 to 507 of the family's 1533-position model. The record is from RNAcentral.
GAUGAACGCUGGCGGCGUGCCUAACACAUGCAAGUCGAGCGGAGAAUUGUUGCUUGCAACAAUUCUUAGCGGCGGACGGGUGAGUAACACGUGGGUAACCUGCCCUAAACAAAGGGAUAACAAUGAGAAAUCAUUGCUAAUACCGUAUAAGCUUACACUAUCGCAUGAUAGAGUAAGAAAAGAUUUAUCGGUUGAGGAGGGGCCAGCGUCUGAUUAGCUAGUUGGAGAGGUAACGGCUCACCAAGGCGACGAUCAGUAGCCGACCUGAGAGGGUGAUCGGCCACAUGGGGACUGAGACACGGCCCAAACUCCUACGGGAGGCAGCAGAGGGGAAUAUUGCACAAUGGAGGAAACUCUGAUGCAGCAACGCCGCGUGAAGGAAGAAGGUUUUCGGAUCGUAAACUUCUAUCUACAGGGAAGAAAAAAAUGACGGUACCUGAGGAAGAAGCCCCGGCUAACUACGUG